GUCGAACGGCAGCACGGGUGCUUGCACCUGGUGGCGAGUGGCGAACGGGUGAGUAAUACAUCGGAACAUGUCCUGUAGUGGGGGAUAGCCCGGCGAAAGCCGGAUUAAUACCGCAUACGAUCUACGGAUGAAAGCGGGGGACCUUCGGGCCUCGCGCUAUAGGGUUGGCCGAUGGCUGAUUAGCUAGUUGGUGGGGUAAAGGCCUACCAAGGCGACGAUCAGUAGCUGGUCUGAGAGGACGACCAGCCACACUGGGACUGAGACACGGCCCAGACUCCUACGGGAGGCAGCAGUGGGGAAUUUUGGACAAUGGGCGAAAGCCUGAUCCAGCAAUGCCGCGUGUGUGAAGAAGGCCUUCGGGUUGUAAAGCACUUUUGUCCGGAAAGAAAUCCUUGGCUCUAAUACAGUCGGGGGAUGACGGUACCGGAAGAAUAAGCACCGGCUAACUACGUGCCAGCAGCCGCGGUAAUACGUAGGGUGCGAGCGUUAAUCGGAAUUACUGGGCGUAAAGCGUGCGCAGGCGGUUUGCUAAGACCGAUGUGAAAUCCCCGGGCUCAACCUGGGAACUGCAUUGGUGACUGGCAGGCUAAAAUGG
RNAcentral lists this ribosomal RNA (595 nucleotides) under Burkholderia cenocepacia. RNAcentral's name for it is "bacterial SSU rRNA". It matches the Rfam family "Bacterial small subunit ribosomal RNA", at positions 61 to 649 of the family's 1533-position model. Lineage: Bacteria; Pseudomonadati; Pseudomonadota; Betaproteobacteria; Burkholderiales; Burkholderiaceae. The record is from RNAcentral.